RNAcentral lists this ribosomal RNA (197 nucleotides) under uncultured bacterium. RNAcentral describes it as "partial 16S ribosomal RNA". It matches the Rfam family "Bacterial small subunit ribosomal RNA", at positions 1303 to 1500 of the family's 1533-position model. The record is from RNAcentral.
GGCUGAAACUCGCCUUCAUGAAGCUGGAAUUGCUAGUAAUGGCAGGUCAGCAUACUGCCGUGAAUACGUUCCCGGGCCUUGUACACACCGCCCGUCACACCAUGAGAGUUGGAAAUACCCGAAGCCUGUGAGCUAACUUUUAGAGGCAGCAGUCGAAGGUAGAGCCAAUGAUUGGGGUGAAGUCGUAACAAGGUAAC